Molecule: ribosomal RNA, 253 nt
Filed under: uncultured bacterium
Lineage: Bacteria
Description: partial 16S ribosomal RNA
Rfam family: Bacterial small subunit ribosomal RNA
Source: RNAcentral
UACGUAGGGUGCGAGCGUUGUCCGGAAUUACUGGGCGUAAAGAGCUUGUAGGUGGUUUGUCGCGUUGUUCGUGAAAUCUCACGGCUCAACUGUGAGCGUGCGGGCGAUACGGGCAGACUAGAGUACUGCAGGGGAGACUGGAAUUCCUGGUGUAGCGGUGAAAUGCGCAGAUAUCAGGAGGAACACCGGUGGCGAAGGCGGUUCUCUGGGCAUUACCUGACGCUGAGGAGUGAAAGUGUGGGGAGCGAACAGG